Long non-coding RNA from Salvia splendens (bonfire salvia), 685 nucleotides. RefSeq lists it as uncharacterized. Lineage: Eukaryota; Viridiplantae; Streptophyta; Magnoliopsida; Lamiales; Lamiaceae. The record is from RefSeq and is a predicted model, not a curated record. The transcript has 3 exons.
CUAGCAUGAGGGCCCAAGAUAUUUCAUUAACUCAUGUUUGAUACACAAUGUCCCCUCUCUAACUCAUGUUUGGCCGAGAAAUUUUCCCCUCUCUAAUUUCAUUUCCCACUCUUUUUUCCCUCUCAAAUUUCAUUCUAAUUUUUCACUCUCUAAUUUCCCUCUCUAAUCUCAUUCUCAUUUUCCCUCUCUAAUUUCCCCUCAUUUUCCCCUCUAAUUUCCCUCUAAUUUCACUCUCUAAAUAGCCCUAACGAGAAUCACAAUUCCCUAUCCAAAUUUCCCUCUUAUCUUCCGCAUUUUACUUCAUUUGAGUUUGCAAGGAAGCAUGGCUGCUUUUCAGCGUUACAAAGCAAGUGUGGACCCAGCUCCUGCUUCUGGAGGUUGAAAUUGAAACAACCCAAAAUUGAUCGGACUAGGCGUAUGUGGAGUGAUCGUGAGGAACAGGUUCUGCUGACAUCUUUGAUGGAGCUCGUCGUGCACGGUUGGAAAUCCGAUAAUGGAUUUCGAUCUGGGUACCUGAAGAAGCUGGAGGAUGAUCUGCGUCGUGAGUUCCCUACAACUGAUCUGAAGGCUAGUCCUAACAUCACUUCAAAGCUACAAGCUUGGAAAAAGAGUUACAACAAUGAGCCAAACUUCUUCCUAAUACUUGAUGAGGAGUGUAAUCAAACCCUUCGUUUGCAAGAUUAAA